CGUAAGCGUGGCCGGUCGGGAAGGCAACGGCGACUGUGCCGCUGUAUGGCGCGAUGACGGUGCCGUCAGUCGGUUCGAUGGCGAUGCCGUCGCCCA
Molecule: transfer RNA, 96 nt
Filed under: Cardiobacterium valvarum
Lineage: Bacteria; Pseudomonadati; Pseudomonadota; Gammaproteobacteria; Cardiobacteriales; Cardiobacteriaceae
Description: tRNA-Thr(tgt)
Source: RNAcentral